GGGUUGUGAGGUUAAGCGACUAAGCGUACACGGUGGAUGCCCUGGCAGUCAGAGGCGAUGAAGGACGUGCUAAUCUGCGAAAAGCGCCGGCGAGGUGAUAUGAACC
This 106-nucleotide ribosomal RNA is filed under the name Enterobacter cloacae. RNAcentral's name for it is "partial 23S ribosomal RNA". It matches the Rfam family "Bacterial large subunit ribosomal RNA", at positions 1 to 97 of the family's 2925-position model. Lineage: Bacteria; Pseudomonadati; Pseudomonadota; Gammaproteobacteria; Enterobacterales; Enterobacteriaceae. RNAcentral also lists the same sequence under 8 other names. The record is from RNAcentral.